GAUCAAGUGUCUGAAGGGCAUUUGGUGGAUGCCUUGGCAUUGAGAGGCGAUGAAGGACGUGACAGGCUGCGUUAAGCCUUGGGGAGCUGCCAGUAAGCUUUGAUCCGAGGAUUUCCGAAUGGGGCAACCCACCGCUUCGGCGGUACCGCAUUGUGAAUAUAUAGCUUUGCGGGGCAAACCCAGCGAACUGAAACAUCUCAGUAGCUGGAGGAAAGGACAUCAACCGAGACUCCGUUAGUAGUGGCGAGCGAACGCGGACCAGGCCAGUGGCUUGGAGAAAACAACCAGAACGGUCUGGAAAGGCCGGCCAUAGCGGGUGAUAGCCCCGUAUGGGUAGAGUUUUUUCUAAGUCCUUGAGUAAGGCGGGACACGAGAAAUCCUGUCUGAACGUGGGGGGACCACCCUCCAAGCCUAAGUACUCCUCAAUGACCGAUAGUGAACAAGUACCGUGAGGGAAAGGUGAAAAGCACCCCGAUAAGGGGAGUGAAAUAGACCCUGAAACCGAAUGCCUACAAGCAGUGGGAGCGAGGCUCUUCAAAUCGCUUUGCGAUUUGGCGAGCCUUUUUAUCUCUCGCGCUGGUCGCGCCCGAAGUGGGCGCGAUGAGCUCCGAGGGGGGGGGCGGCUUGACCGGCCGGCGGCCUUUGGCCUUGCCUCGAUAACAAGCGUUGUUGUCGUGGAUGAGAGCUGAAUUUGGCCAUGAUACAGCAAGAGCGAUUUUGUUGUGUCGACAGCUGAAUGGAGCCGGGGUGCGGCGCAGUUGCACCAACGCGUGCGAAUUGCACGCCGCGCCUUUGGCGCACCCCCAGUGGAGGCGUUUUGCGUAGCAAAACUGCCGUGAACGAAAAGGGCGACGCAAAUUGUGAAGCAAUUUGAUGAGCCUCGUGACCGCGUACCUUUUGUAUAAUGGGUCAGCGACUUAGUGUUGCAAGCGAGCUUAAGCCGAGAGGCGUAUGCGCAGCGAAAGCGAGUCUUAAUAGGGCGUUUAGUUUGUGGCAUUAGACCCGAAACCGGGUGAUCUAGCCAUGGGCAGGUUGAAGGUGCGGUAACACGCACUGGAGGACCGAACCCACUUAUGUUGAAAAAUGAGGGGAUGACCUGUGGCUAGGGGUGAAAGGCCAAUCAAACCCGGAGAUAGCUGGUUCUCCGCGAAAACUAUUUAGGUAGUGCGUCUUGUUUUACCUUCGGGGGUAGAGCACUGGAUGGGCUAGGGGGGCGCGAGCCUUACCAAACCUAACCAAACUCCGAAUACCGAAGAGUAUAAUCAGGGCAGACAGACUGUGGGUGCUAAGGUCCAUAGUCGAAAGGGAAACAGCCCAGACCGCCAGCUAAGGUCCCUAAAUCAUGGCUAAGUGGGUAAGGAUGUGGGAAGGCCAAAACAACCAGGAGGUUGGCUUAGAAGCAGCCAUCCUUUAAAGAAAGCGUAAUAGCUCACUGGUCUAAUAGCCGUUCUGCGCCGACGAUGUACCGGGGCUCAAGCCAUGUACCGAAGCUGCGGAUUCAGAGAUCUUCUGGAUCUCUGAGUGGUAGCGGAGCGUUCCGUAAGCCUGCGAAGGCGAACCGUGAGGUUUGCUGGAGGUAUCGGAAGUGAGAAUGCUGACAUGAGUAGCGAGAUGAGGGUGAGAAACCCUCACGCCGAAAAUCCAAGGGUUCCUGCGCAAGGCUAAUCCGCGCAGGGUGAGCCGGCCCCUAAGGCGAGGGCGAAAGCCGUAGUCGAUGGGAACCAGGUUAAUAUUCCUGGGCCAGGUGGGAUGUGACGGAUGGCGUAAGUUGUCUUCUCUUAUUGGAUUGAGAGGGCAGCGGUGCCGUUCCAGGAAAUAGCCCCACCAUUAUUGACCGUACCCUAAACCGACACAGGUGGAUUGGUAGAGUAUACCCAGGCGCUUGAGAGAACGAUGUUGAAGGAACUCGGCAAAAUACCUCCGUAACUUCGGGAGAAGGAGGCCCUCGGCGUGGGCAACCAUGUUGGGGGGGCACAGACCAGGGGGUGGCGACUGUUUAUUAAAAACACAGGGCUCUGCGAAGCCGCAAGGCGAAGUAUAGGGUCUGACGCCUGCCCGGUGCUGGAAGGUUAAGAGGAGGGGUGCAAGCUCUGAAUCGAAGCCCCAGUAAACGGCGGCCGUAACUAUAACGGUCCUAAGGUAGCGAAAUUCCUUGUCGGGUAAGUUCCGACCUGCACGAAUGGCGUAACGACUUCCCC
RNAcentral lists this ribosomal RNA (2198 nucleotides) under Alphaproteobacteria bacterium. Its description in RNAcentral is "partial 23S ribosomal RNA". It matches the Rfam family "Bacterial large subunit ribosomal RNA", at positions 1 to 2014 of the family's 2925-position model. Lineage: Bacteria; Pseudomonadati; Pseudomonadota; Alphaproteobacteria. The record is from RNAcentral.